UACGGAGGGGGUUAGCGUUGUUCGGAAUUACUGGGCGUAAAGCGCGCGUAGGCGGACCGAAAAGUUGGGGGUGAAAUCCCGGGGCUCAACCCCGGAACUGCCUCCAAAACUGCCGGUCUAGAGUUCGAGAGAGGUGAGUGGAACUCCGAGUGUAGAGGUGAAAUUCGUAGAUAUUCGGAAGAACACCAGUGGCGAAGGCGACUCACUGGCUCGAUACUGACGCUGAGGUGCGAAAGUGUGGGGAGCAAACAGG
RNAcentral lists this ribosomal RNA (253 nucleotides) under uncultured bacterium. RNAcentral's name for it is "partial 16S ribosomal RNA". It matches the Rfam family "Bacterial small subunit ribosomal RNA", at positions 524 to 776 of the family's 1533-position model. The record is from RNAcentral.